AUUGAACGCUGGCGGAAUGCCUUACACAUGCAAGUCGAACGGUAGAGGGGGCAACCCCUCGAGAGUGGCGAACGGGUGAGUAAUAUAUCGGAACGUGCCCAGUCGUGGGGGAUAACGUAGCGAAAGUUACGCUAAUACCGCAUACGAUCUACGGAUGAAAGCGGGGGAUCGCAAGACCUCGCGCGAUUGGAGCGGCCGAUAUCAGAUUAGGUAGUUGGUGGGGUAAAGGCUCACCAAGCCAACGAUCUGUAGCUGGUCUGAGAGGACGACCAGCCACACUGGAACUGAGACACGGUCCAGACUCCUACGGGAGGCAGCAGUGGGGAAUUUUGGACAAUGGGCGAAAGCCUGAUCCAGCCAUUCCGCGUGCAGGAUGAAGGCCCUCGGGUUGUAAACUGCUUUUGUACAGAACGAAAAGGUUUCUACUAAUACUAGGAGCUCAUGACGGUACUGUAAGAAUAAGCAUCGGCUAACUACGUGCCAGCAGCCGCCGUAA
This 496-nucleotide ribosomal RNA is filed under the name uncultured bacterium. Its description in RNAcentral is "partial 16S ribosomal RNA". It matches the Rfam family "Bacterial small subunit ribosomal RNA", at positions 30 to 523 of the family's 1533-position model. The record is from RNAcentral.